GGGUCCAUAGCUCAGUGGUAGAGCAAUUGACUGCAGAUCAACUACUUUGGUUGGGCCCU
This 59-nucleotide transfer RNA is filed under the name Oryza brachyantha (malo sina). It matches the Rfam family "tRNA". From Rfam's summary of the family: Transfer RNA (tRNA) molecules are approximately 80 nucleotides in length. Lineage: Eukaryota; Viridiplantae; Streptophyta; Magnoliopsida; Poales; Poaceae. The record is from Rfam by way of RNAcentral.